CAGUUCACACAUUGAAGACUACACAACAUGUUUGUUUUUUUAUUGUUGUGAAACUGUGGGAGUUUUAUUCUACCCUUUAAAUUCCCAAAUGACCUCUGAGUUCACUGUUGACUCAUUUGUGAACAACUUUCAAUACAUAGUUGCAGAACUGGAUACAAAGCUGAAAGACACUGGGACAUUAUCCCGAGUCAAAGAAUCAGACCGUUUUAUUAUUUUUUUGCUGACAGUUCUGCGUGGUAGUGUUGAAACAACCAAUGUCUCCCAGGUUUCAGUUGCUUUUAAUUGUGUUAUUUUGCACUGUAUAGACUGAAGAUUGCGUUUUGUGUAAUCCAUACACUCUACCAGUCACAAAUCUGGACACAGCUUCUCAUUCAGUGGUUUUUAUUUGAUUAUUUUGUACAUUGUAGAUUAAUACUGAAUACAUCAAAACUAUAAAACAAUACAUAUGGAAUUAUGUUGUGAUCGAAAAAGGUGUUAAUCUUCAGUAUUAAUCUACAAUGUAGAAAUAAUACAAAUAAAUAAAAAGCAUUGAAUGAGAAGGUGUGUCAAAACUUUUGACUGAUAGUGUAUAUACAGCUAAGCUCCAAAUUAUCCAUACCCAUGAACACGUUAGAUGUAUAUGGAAUUUUCCUUUUACAAGUAGGUUUGUUCAUGCUAGAAAUGACAAAAGACAGUAACACACUGUUUUAGAGAUGUUACAGAUACAUUUGAACUAUUUUUGAUUUAGAAAAGAUGCACUGUGUUAAGUGGUCAUGGUAAAUUCUACAAUGUUCUAGAGGGUUCUAAUACACUAUUGCAUUGACAACCACUGAUACAGUAAUUCUCCAGUCAUUUGUUAGUCAGUUGCAUGUCAGCUAAAACCACAAACUUUAGUGAGGACCUUUGAAUGUGCACUACGGCUGCUCACAACAUGGGGAAAGGCUAUGCAGUCAUAUCCAAGCGUGUCAAAAAAAAAAAACACAAGGACUUUGAAUCAUUUAAACACCUCAGAGUGUGUGGUAGAAAGUCAAAAAUGGUUACUGUGUUGGCAAGAAUGGCAGUUUGAGGAACCAAGGGGAAUUCCAAUAUUCCGCGACGAUUCUGACAGAAACCGGAAACAACCAUAGAAACAAGGAUAGACAAGAAGAUGGCUGCGCACAAUAAACAGUUAUCUUUCGACUCGGCUUUGGCCACAGCCCUUAAAGAUUUGAAGCUAAAAUUCAACUUGAAAGAUAAACAAAGGACGGCACUGAAGUGUUUCAUUGAGAAGAAAGACGUAUUUGGACUUACGCCAACAGGAUAUGGCAAAUCCUUAAUAUACCAGUUGGCUCUGCUGGUUGGGAAGCUAAUGGGACUUAGGCUUCACUGAACUCCCGCAUCCUCUGAUUUCCGGCGCUCUAGGAACUACGUCAGCCUAUUCGUUGCGCUGAUUGGUUGUAUACCUACCCAAUUGCUGCAGAGUGAUUUAAAAGACAACCUUUUAGCCCGUCUCCCUCCCUGUCGAGAGUUACUAGACCCUUGCGUCUUCAGACCUGGGUCUAGCGCGGCUAGGCUAGUGAAUCUGAGCAAUUCUGGUACCAACAUCUAAAGACAUAUGGUCAAGCAGAACCUGAACAAGGCUGGUCUCCAUAGACCCAGACCAAGGAGGACUUCACUUCUCCAAGACAGAAAUACAGAUGUCACAUGGACAGUUGGACACAGAUGGUUUUAGUCAUCAGGUCUGUGGUCAGAUGAGAUGAAAAUGGAUGUUUCGACAUGCUGGGAUGGGAUUUUUACUGUUGAAAGGAAGGACAAUCGGUCAACCCUGAGAACAUCAUACUAACAGUAAGACAUGGUGGUGGGAGUAGAAUGUCUUGGUGUUUUUUUCAGCUAAGUGGUUAGGCAGCCUUGUCAAAGUAAAUGGUGUCAUGAGAAAAGAGCAUUUAGAUUCUGGGGUAAAACAUCAGGCUUUCUACUGAAAGUUUGGCAUUGGGCAACAUUUGACCUUCCAGUAAGACUUGAUCUGAAUUCUGAAAUCUACAGCCAGAGUGGUCAAGAAAUGGUUAACAGUAAACAUUAUGAACAUUGUGAAGCAGCCCAUCCAGAGUCUUCACCUGAAGUCCAUUGAGAAUCUGAUUGAUGGCAAAGAAGCCUUUAAUCUCAAAAACCUGGAGGUCACCACAAAAAGUAAUAUAACAAAAUCCCAGAGGAGACAUACAGAAGGCAAGAUCUGUUUGACUGUCUUACCACUGAGCAAGAGCAUGAACAACUUUGGACAUGGCUUUAGUAGAAAAUGUAAUUUACAUCUCUAACACGAUGACUUUCUGUCUUGUGACUUAUUUCAUUUCCAGACAGAAAGAAACAUACUAGUUGAUAAAAAAUGACUGUAAAUAUACAUUUGAUAUGGGUGUGAAUCGUUUUGAGUGUACAUGUCAAUGCUGCAUAUGUCAUCACUGUCCUCCUGUUCUGUUCUCCUGCAG
Acanthochromis polyacanthus (spiny chromis) is the source of this 2438-nucleotide long non-coding RNA. RefSeq lists it as uncharacterized. NCBI's taxonomy places the organism in Eukaryota, Metazoa, Chordata, Actinopteri, Pomacentridae. The record is from RefSeq and is a predicted model, not a curated record. The transcript is spliced from 2 exons.